UACGUAGGGUGCAAGCGUUAAUCGGAAUUACUGGGCGUAAAGCGUGCGCAGGCGGCUUUGCAAGACAGAUGUGAAAUCCCCGGGCUUAACCUGGGAACUGCAUUUGUGACUGCAUGGCUAGAGUGCGGCAGAGGGGGAUGGAAUUCCGCGUGUAGCAGUGAAAUGCGUAGAUAUCUGGAGGAACACCGGUGGCGAAGGCGGCAUCCUGGACCAAUUCUGACGCUGAGGAGCGAAAGCCAGGGGAGCAAACGGG
RNAcentral lists this ribosomal RNA (253 nucleotides) under uncultured bacterium. RNAcentral's name for it is "partial 16S ribosomal RNA". It matches the Rfam family "Bacterial small subunit ribosomal RNA", at positions 524 to 776 of the family's 1533-position model. The record is from RNAcentral.